This 679-nucleotide ribosomal RNA is filed under the name Escherichia albertii. Its description in RNAcentral is "partial 23S ribosomal RNA". It matches the Rfam family "Bacterial large subunit ribosomal RNA", at positions 2270 to 2925 of the family's 2925-position model. Lineage: Bacteria; Pseudomonadati; Pseudomonadota; Gammaproteobacteria; Enterobacterales; Enterobacteriaceae. The record is from RNAcentral.
UUGACUGGGGCGGUCUCCUCCUAAAGAGUAACGGAGGAGCACGAAGGUUGGCUAAUCCUGGUCGGACAUCAGGAGGUUAGUGCAAUGGCAUAAGCCAGCUUGACUGCGAGCGUGACGGCGCGAGCAGGUGCGAAAGCAGGUCAUAGUGAUCCGGUGGUUCUGAAUGGAAGGGCCAUCGCUCAACGGAUAAAAGGUACUCCGGGGAUAACAGGCUGAUACCGCCCAAGAGUUCAUAUCGACGGCGGUGUUUGGCACCUCGAUGUCGGCUCAUCACAUCCUGGGGCUGAAGUAGGUCCCAAGGGUAUGGCUGUUCGCCAUUUAAAGUGGUACGCGAGCUGGGUUUAGAACGUCGUGAGACAGUUCGGUCCCUAUCUGCCGUGGGCGCUGGAGAACUGAGGGGGGCUGCUCCUAGUACGAGAGGACCGGAGUGGACGCAUCACUGGUGUUCGGGUUGUCAUGCCAAUGGCACUGCCCGGUAGCUAAAUGCGGAAGAGAUAAGUGCUGAAAGCAUCUAAGCACGAAACUUGCCCCGAGAUGAGUUCUCCCUGAGACUUUAAGUCUCCUGAAGGAACGUUGAAGACGACGACGUUGAUAGGCCGGGUGUGUAAGCGCAGCGAUGCGUUGAGCUAACCGGUACUAAUGAACCGUGAGGCUUAACCUUACAACGCCGAAGGUGUUU